GUGUCUAGUGCACUGCUGCCCUCCAGGGAUGAAGCUAGUCUCAGGACAUUGCCCGGGCUCCUGUCACGGCGGCUCUGUGGUUGGUCCACGCCUGCUCUGGCCGGCCACAGCUCUGGGCCUUUUUCACUGGCCUUCUUUGAGCUCUCCCUGGACUUUGGAGCAUCAUGAGAUUUUUCCAUGCUUCUGGCUCUGUCGCUCACAAGCUCAACAGUGACUUGGGGUCAGGGUGGUAAAGCAAAUAGGUGCCUUCCUGGGAAUGGGCAGUGGCGGGGGGUCAGGGAGAGGGAGGCUAGAGAAUAGAUAGGACCUCCUGGUAGUGGCAAGAACAGCCCCAGCUCCCGCCUUCCUGGAACCCUUCUGCUGAGGAGCCCCCGGGCUGAGGAGGAGGCCUCAUGGGGGCCAUUUCACAGACCAAGAGGCUGAGUCACUUGCCUAAGGUUGGGCCUCUGGUGAGUGACAGGCUGCAGCUGGACAGGAAAAGAACUCCUGCGGGGAGCCGCUAAUCCCAGAGUAAACAGAUGACCUCGUGGUGCCUUUCUCCCGGAGGCCUGACCUUCACCUGGAAGCAACUCCUCCCCCUCCUGGGUCUUCUGCGGACACUGCCCUGGCAGAGCUGGCUUUGCAUCCUGGCCGCCUCCCUUACUAGCUGUGUGACAGAGGCCAGCAAGUGCACCUUUCUGAGCCUCAGUUUCCUCACUUGGAAAGCAGACGUUCCUGGCAGCCCUGAGGGCUGUGCACACGGGCCAGGCUGAUGGAGUUAACUGCAAACACGCUCAGGAAGUGUAAACAGCCCUCCUCCGGGCCAGGACGACUGGCAGACUCACGGGCAGCUUGCACAAUCCUGUGUGCUGCUAUGACACUCAUUUUUGGGGCAUGGAGUCAUCUCUGCCAUGGGCCUCUCCCUCCUUGCCCUGGAUCGUCUUUGUAACACAGAUGGUACUGCGUGUCAGUAGUCAGUGGGAAGAAAUUCAGACCCCAGCCCCACCCCGAAGCUCAUUCUGAUUUAGAGCUGCCCAAGGACCCGAGGAGGCUGGAGCUGAAAGGGAGCCUGGGAAUUACCUAGCCCAACCUCUUCAUUUUCUAGAUGAAGGACCUGCGACCUAAAGAGGUGGGGACACUAAGGCCAUAAUACAAAGGAGCUGCCUGUGAUGUGUGACGCAACAGCUGGAGCGAGGACCUCUGGAGAUCGGGCAUGUGUGCACAGGAACACGCACGCACAUGAGCUCUCUUAGCCCUGUCAGGAGGGCCAGUGUGCCCUAAUUGGUGUGGUACCUUAGGCCACACCAAUACUGGAACUUGUUUUCCUGAGAGUCUGCGCAGGCCAAGUGCACGGCUAAAGGCCUUCAAGGCUCCUACCCGAAAGAAACCCAGGACUGAUCUGUGAGUAGCAGUUGUAAGCCUCAUUUUACACACGAGGGAAUGGAGGCUCACAGAACCCAGAGGACCUGCCUAAGGAGUGCGGUGGACCCGCUGCCUGAAUCCAGCCCGGCCCAGCCCUCUAUGCUCUUCCACGUGACCUUGAAACAUCCUUAGGUGCUCUGCCCCUCAUUUUCCCAGUCAGUGGGGCUGAUCAAGCGCGAUGAAGUACUAGAAACGCCGGAGACUGCAGGAAGCAGUCUCGCCAGUGGAAAUCCUACAUGCUUGGUAAAAUAACUGAAUGACCUAAUGAGCUUCGAGACUGGGACUGGUGUGUGACAGACUGCGUCCCUCCUACCACAUUUCCUGUGCAUUUCCCUGCCUGUAGCAUGAUGUCUGGGGUGCCUCAGGAUGCCAAAGUGAGUCCCCAGGGAACCUCAUGGAGCUGGGAGAACUUCACACAACACUGUGGCUGCAGAAAGCUGGUGGUGGUUGCAGGAGUCAGUGAGUGGGUGUAGGGGGAGGGGCUUCUAGGGUCAUGGGUGGGAAAGGCCUUGCUCACACCCAAACUCCCAAUCUUCCAGCUCUGUGGCCUUAGGGAGUGGCCCCAGGCUUCCUUUGCCUGAGUAUAAUGAGUUUCAUGUCAGCCCUUCCUUUGGAAGACUUAGUGUCUAUGAAGCACCAUGAGUGUGGUAGGUGUCUUUUAUCAGAGCUUAUGUAGCCCUAAGGGGACUUCAGAAAAGUGAUUGGCCUUCAAUAGCCUUUGCACUGUCAUUGCACCAUUCCUAGUAGAACAGAAUUUCUAUAAGUCUCCCUCACGUGCCUAUCAUACGGCAAACCCACGAGUUGCUAUUGUUUAUCUUCUUUGCAGAUGAAGAGCUUUAUUGCGAUGAUGCCAGUGGCCCCAGGUCGCACAGCCGAUGGUGGCAGACCAAGGCUUCAGCCCAGGCUGGGUCUUUCCUCUCUGCAGGCCACAGGAAGUGCCUCCUUCUCCACACCACAGGUCCCUCUUGCUGGCCAGCAGUUGCCCAGCCUGCCUGCUCUCCUGUGUCUGGGGGCCGUGGCAGGCAGGGCCUCUGCUGACAUGGAUUGCAGGGUACAGCCAUUGACAGACACAUGAGCACCUGCCUCUGAGGGAAGGAGUCUCGAGCCAAGACCUUCUGAUGCCGGAGAGCAGCAGCUCCAGGUUGGGUCAUAGAGUGGCCACACUGGGAACCCAGGCUCAUCAUCAGAAUAAGAAAAGGACGUGCCUUGGGGAACAGAGUAAGGGGGAACAAUGAUGAAUUCGCUCCCACUGCACAUAGGUGCUCUGAGGAUUCAUUAUGGUGCCGUCUCAUUCCGUUCUCUAACAACCUAGUAAGAAAGGUCCUGAUUUGAUCCCUGUUAGCAGAAGAGGAAAUGAGGCACAGAGGCAGUGAUUUUCCCAAGGCCACACAGUUAACAUGGCAGAGGUAGGGUUCAACCCAGGCCUGUGAUAGCUUUGCCACCGCAUUAUUCCCUGCACUGGGAACAUGGCUAUGAAAGGGACUUACCUGCAGGCAGAGCUAGAAGAGACGUCUGGGGAGGGAGGAGCCAUUGUUCCCAUGAGUCAGGGGCCCUCAGCUCCAGGCCAACAGCCGGUCUGGCCCUGGCAGCUUCUGCCACCCACCUGGUAUGGCCAGAGGCCUGAAGGUGCUUCAGCAAGUUUAGUCAGCCCAGGUGAGCGGCAAGCAGGCACCCAUCAGGAGGUCCACCUCCACCCCCUGCACUUCUGAUGAGAAAACAACCUAAGUACGAUGUCUGGCCUCAGUCCUGAGCCUCUGCCCAAGGCGCAUUACUCAGUGUGCCCCUGGACGCAUUGCCCCCUGGGAGGGACCGCCAGUUCGGCUGGCCUGUGGGCCAUGUGUCUAAGCAGGUGUGUGCAGGAGGAGCUGAACAGUACCCAGUCAUUCACAUCCAGCUCUGUGGCCUUAGGGAGUGGCCCCAGGCUUCCUUUGCCUGAGUAUAAUGAGUUGCAUGUCAGCCCUUUCUUUGGAAGGCUUGCCUAUGAAGCACUGUGAGUUUGGCACUAGACCUUAUGGGGACCCAGGCAUUCAGGGACAUCAGGCUGGGCCCGGGGCACCUCCAGCCUUGUACGUUAAAUAAGAAUAAAGUUAUUUGGCUUCACUUUAAAAUUAAAAUUAUGUUCUUUUGAGAAAAUUUGGAAAACAGUGAAAUAAAAGAAAAAUAGUU
Molecule: non-coding RNA, 3567 nt
Organism: Callithrix jacchus (white-tufted-ear marmoset)
Lineage: Eukaryota; Metazoa; Chordata; Mammalia; Primates; Cebidae
Source: RefSeq, a predicted model, not a curated record